CCCUUAGAUGUUCUGGGCGGCCCGCGCACUACAAUGGCGUGUGCAGCGAGUGCCGAAGUAGAGUUUUCCGAGGUAUUCUUGCAAUGCUCGUUUUGAUGGGGAUAGACCCUUGCAACUGCUGGUUUUGAACGAGGAAUUCCUUGUAAGCAUGGUUUAUCAUCCGACGCUGAAUGCGUCCCUGCCCUUUGUACACACCGCCCGUCGCUCCUACCGAUGAGUCGUCCGGUGAAGUUCGUAGACCUCGUGAUCGCGGAUCACUGGGGGAAGCAAAAUGAACCUCGCGGUUUAGAGGAAGGAGAAGUCGUAACA
This 309-nucleotide ribosomal RNA is filed under the name uncultured eukaryote. RNAcentral's name for it is "partial 18S ribosomal RNA". It matches the Rfam family "Eukaryotic small subunit ribosomal RNA", at positions 1470 to 1796 of the family's 1831-position model. The record is from RNAcentral.